Molecule: ribosomal RNA, 475 nt
Filed under: Lasiodiplodia theobromae
Lineage: Eukaryota; Fungi; Ascomycota; Dothideomycetes; Botryosphaeriales; Botryosphaeriaceae
Description: eukaryotic LSU rRNA
Rfam family: 5.8S ribosomal RNA (bases 132-285)
Source: RNAcentral
UUUUCAAGCUCGGCUCGACUCUCCCACCCUUUGUGAACGUACCUCUGUUGCUUUGGCGGCUCCGGCCGCCAAAGGACCUUCAAACUCCAGUCAGUAAACGCAGACGUCUGAUAAACAAGUUAAUAAACUAAAACUUUCAACAACGGAUCUCUUGGUUCUGGCAUCGAUGAAGAACGCAGCGAAAUGCGAUAAGUAAUGUGAAUUGCAGAAUUCAGUGAAUCAUCGAAUCUUUGAACGCACAUUGCGCCCCUUGGUAUUCCGGGGGGCAUGCCUGUUCGAGCGUCAUUACAACCCUCAAGCUCUGCUUGGAAUUGGGCACCGUCCUCACUGCGGACGCGCCUCAAAGACCUCGGCGGUGGCUGUUCAGCCCUCAAGCGUAGUAGAAUACACCUCGCUUUGGAGCGGUUGGCGUCGCCCGCCGGACGAACCUUCUGAACUUUUCUCAAGGUUGACCUCAAAUCAGGUAGGGAUACCC